CUUGGCGACCAUAGCGUUAUGGACCCACCUGAUCCCAUGCCGAACUCAGUAGUGAAACGUAAUAGCGCCGAUGGUAGUGUGGGGCCUCCCCAUGUGAGUAGGACAUCGCCAGGC
Molecule: ribosomal RNA, 114 nt
Filed under: Photobacterium leiognathi subsp. mandapamensis
Lineage: Bacteria; Pseudomonadati; Pseudomonadota; Gammaproteobacteria; Vibrionales; Vibrionaceae
Also listed under: 1 other name
Source: RNAcentral